Brachypodium distachyon (stiff brome) is the source of this 135-nucleotide non-coding RNA. NCBI's taxonomy places the organism in Eukaryota, Viridiplantae, Streptophyta, Magnoliopsida, Poales, Poaceae. The record is from Rfam.
CUUAUAUUUCUUCCGUCCGACGAAUGAUGUUCAACUUUGACUAAAUUUGAAUGCAUCUAUAUACUAAAUCAUGUCUAGAUACAUUCAAAAUUUGACAAACUUGAAACAUCUUUUGUUGGACGGAAGGAGUAUGAU